This 273-nucleotide ribosomal RNA is filed under the name uncultured bacterium. RNAcentral's name for it is "partial 16S ribosomal RNA". It matches the Rfam family "Bacterial small subunit ribosomal RNA", at positions 524 to 796 of the family's 1533-position model. The record is from RNAcentral.
UACGUAGGGUGCGAGCGUUGUCCGGAAUUAUUGGGCGUAAAGGGCUCGUAGGCGGUCUGUCGCGUCGGGAGUGUAAUCCGCCGGCUUAACUGGUGGGGUGCUUCCGGUACGGGCAGACUGGAGGUAUGCAGGGGAGAACGGAAUUCCUGGUGUAGCGGUGAAAUGCGCAGAUAUCAGGAGGAACACCGGUGGCGAAGGCGGUUCUCUGGGCAUGUCCUGACGCUGAGGAGCGAAAGUGUGGGGAGCGAACAGGAUUAGAAACCCCCGUAGUCC